UGCGAGUCGACGAUGAGCCUUUCGGGGUGGAUUAGUGGCGAACGGGUGAGUAACACGUGGGCAAUCUGCCCUUCACUCUGGGACAAGCCCUGGAAACGGGGUCUAAUACCGGAUAACACCUUCCACCGCAUGGUGGGGGGUUGAAAGCUCCGGCGGUGAAGGAUGAGCCCGCGGCCUAUCAGCUUGUUGGUGGGGUGAUGGCCUACCAAGGCGACGACGGGUAGCCGGCCUGAGAGGGCGACCGGCCACACUGGGACUGAGACACGGCCCAGACUCCUACGGGAGGCAGCAGUGGGGAAUAUUGCACAAUGGGCGAAAGCCUGAUGCAGCGACGCCGCGUGAGGGAUGACGGCCUUCGGGUUGUAAACCUCUUUCAGCAGGGAAGAAGCGAAAGUGACGGUACCUGCAGAAGAAGCGCCGGCUAACUACGUGCCAGCAGCCGCGGUAAUACGUAGGGCGCAAGCGUUGUCCGGAAUUAUUGGGCGUAAAGAGCUCGUAGGCGGCUUGUCGCGUCGGAUGUGAAAGCCCGGGGCUUAACCCCGGGUCUGCAUUCGAUACGGGCAGGCUAGAGUGUGGUAGGGGAGAUCGGAAUUCCUGGUGUAGCGGUGAAAUGCGCAGAUAUCAGGAGGAACACCGGUGGCGAAGCGGAUCUCUGGGCCAUUACUGACGCUGAGGAGCGAAAGCGUGGGGAGCGAACAGGAUUAGAUACCCUGGUAGUCCACGCCGUAAACGUUGGGAACUAGGUGUUGGCGACAUUCCACGUCGUCGGUGCCGCAGCUAACGCAUUAAGUUCCCCGCCUGGGGAGUACGCCGCAAGCUAAAACUCAAAGGA
This 832-nucleotide ribosomal RNA is filed under the name Streptomyces sp. Its description in RNAcentral is "bacterial SSU rRNA". It matches the Rfam family "Bacterial small subunit ribosomal RNA", at positions 56 to 908 of the family's 1533-position model. Lineage: Bacteria; Bacillati; Actinomycetota; Actinomycetes; Kitasatosporales; Streptomycetaceae. The record is from RNAcentral.